RNAcentral lists this ribosomal RNA (492 nucleotides) under uncultured bacterium. Its description in RNAcentral is "partial 16S ribosomal RNA". It matches the Rfam family "Bacterial small subunit ribosomal RNA", at positions 29 to 507 of the family's 1533-position model. The record is from RNAcentral.
AGUGAACGCUGGCGGUAGGCCUAACACAUGCAAGUCGAACGGCAGCACAGUAAGAGCUUGCUCUUACGGGUGGCGAGUGGCGGACGGGUGAGGAAUACAUCGGAAUCUACUUUUUCGUGGGGGAUAACGCAGGGAAACUUACGCUAAUAGCGCAUACGACCUACGGGGGAAAGCAGGGGACCUUCGGACCUUGCGCGAGUGAAUGAGCCGAUGUCGGAUUAGCUAGUUGGCGGGGUAAAGGCCCACCAAGGCGACGAUCCGUAGCUGGUCUGAGAGGAUGAUCAGCCACACUGGAACUGAGACACGGUCCAGACUCCUACGGGAGGCAGCAGUGGGGAAUAUUGGACAAUGGGCGCAAGCCUGAUCCAGCCAUGCCGCGUGGGUGAAGAAGGCCUUCGGGUUGUAAAGCCCUUUUGUUGGGAAAGAAAAGCAGCAGGUUGAUACCCCGCUGUUCUGACGGUACCCAAAGAAUAAGCACCGGCUAACUUCGUG